RNAcentral lists this ribosomal RNA (530 nucleotides) under Fusarium sp. UFMGCB 551. RNAcentral describes it as "eukaryotic LSU rRNA". The stretch from base 162 to 318 matches the Rfam family "5.8S ribosomal RNA". Lineage: Eukaryota; Fungi; Ascomycota; Sordariomycetes; Hypocreales; Nectriaceae. The record is from RNAcentral.
AACCUGCGGAGGGAUCAUUACCGAGUUUACAACUCCCAAACCCCCUGUGAACAUACCUUUAUGUUGCCUCGGCGGAUCAGUCUGUCCCUCGGGACGGCCCGCCGCAGGACCCUAAACUCUGUUUUUAGUGGAACUUCUGAGUAAAAAAACAAAUAAAUCAAAACUUUCAACAACGGAUCUCUUGGUUCUGGCAUCGAUGAAGAACGCAGCAAAAUGCGAUAAGUAAUGUGAAUUGCAGAAUUCACGCUGAAUCAUCGAAUCUUUGAACGCACAUUGCGCCCGCCUAGUAUUCUGGCGGGCAUGCCUGUUCGAGCGUCAUUUCAACCCUCAAGCCCAGCUUGGUGUUGGGAGCUGUCGUCAAGACACUCCCCAAAUUGAUUGGCGGUCACGUCGAGCUUCCAUAGCGUAGUAAUUUACACAUCGUUACUGGUAAUCGUCGCGGGCACGCCGUUAAACCCCCAACUUCUGAAUGUUGAACUCGGGAAUCCAGGUUAGGAAAUACCCGGGUUGAACUUAAUGCAUAUCAACUA